AUUGAACGCUGGCGGCAGGCCUAACACAUGCAAGUCGAGCGGAUGAAGGUAGCUUUCUUCUGGAUUCAGCGGCGGACGGGUGAGUAAUUCCUAGGAAUCUGCCUGGUAGUGGGGGAUAACGUCCGGUAACGGGCGCUAAUACCGCAUACGUUCUGAGGGAGAAAGUGGGGGAUCUUCGGACCUCACGCUAUCAGAUGAGCCUAGGUCGGAUUAGCUAGUUGGUGGGGUAAAGGCCUACCAAGGCGACGAUCCGUAACUGGUCUGAGAGGAUGAUCAGUCACACUGGAACUGAGACACGGUCCAGCCUCCUACGGGAGGAAGCAGUGGGGAAUAUUGGACAAUGGGCGAAAGCCUGAUCCAGAAAUGCCGCGUGUGUGAAGAAGGUCUUCGGAUUGUAAAGCACUUUAAGUUGGGAGGACGGGCAGUAAGUUAAUACCUUGCUGUUUUGACGUUACCAACAGAAUAAGCAACGGCUAACUUCGUG
This 484-nucleotide ribosomal RNA is filed under the name uncultured bacterium. RNAcentral's name for it is "partial 16S ribosomal RNA". It matches the Rfam family "Bacterial small subunit ribosomal RNA", at positions 30 to 507 of the family's 1533-position model. The record is from RNAcentral.